AUAAGACCUUGGAUGCUUGCUGAACUAGGAAGCCAUACUUGGUGAUACUGCGGUGGAUACCAAUGUAUCCAGCUGCCCUGGAUGUCACAGCUGGCAUUUAGUAGAGGACAACCAAGUGAUAUCUUGACACAAAGUGGCACGCCUUUGUUUGGAGGGGGAUGGGAAACUUACUUGUCUUUCUUCCACUGAAGCUCUGUGGCUGUGUCUGCUAGUCUCUGAUCCCAGCCGCUCUUCAAGUCUUCAUCAGACUCCUCUAACAGAGAAAAUCUCCAACUGUUGGCUUAAUGACCACAGAGAAUGGUACUCCACAGGCAGACACAAACGGUGAUGGAUAUUGAGCCACAGGG
Long non-coding RNA from Acanthaster planci (crown-of-thorns starfish), 347 nucleotides. RefSeq lists it as uncharacterized. The record is from RefSeq and is a predicted model, not a curated record. NCBI's taxonomy places the organism in Eukaryota, Metazoa, Echinodermata, Asteroidea, Valvatida, Acanthasteridae.